Molecule: long non-coding RNA, 2071 nt
Organism: Ictalurus punctatus (channel catfish)
Lineage: Eukaryota; Metazoa; Chordata; Actinopteri; Siluriformes; Ictaluridae
Exons: 10
Source: RefSeq, a predicted model, not a curated record
UAUAUAGCAUGAUACAUAUCCCUGCUUGAGUGUGCGAGCAUACUUGACCAAUAAAACUGAUUCUGAAUCUGAUUCAGAAAAAUGGCAGUGAUCCGUACGGAAGCCGAAGGAAUCGACUCAUAUUGAAGAGCUAAGCCAAAGGAUUCGGUUCACUUAAAAGAGCCAGUGCUUUCCAUCAUUGAAGGAAGUGAAGUGCGCGGUGAAAAAGCAUCAUAAUGGACGCUACAGUGGCAUGUAAUAAUUGUGGCUUACCGUACACGUUGUCUGAGGGUGAGGUUGUGGGGAGGCUGCCCCAUGUGCUCUUCUGUGUGGAGUGUCUCUGCUCUCUGGAGUGUCCUCAGGACUCCAACUCUGUCCCCUCAGUCAGCUGUCCCGAGUGUAGGGUGAGCACUGUUCACAACUCCUGUCCAUGCAGCCAUCACUCCCUUACUGCGCUACAGCAUGUCAACCAGCUUUCACAACUCUUUUAGGGAAAGUAGCUAAAGCAUGCUCAAUUUGUCACCAGAUGACACCAUAGACUAAUUUUUUCUAAUUACCUAUGAUAUGGCAAUGAAUAUUACUAACUAGUUUUAAAAAAGAAAGAGAGGCAGAUAGGGUGCCGAUACUUGUAGAGUUGCAUAGAUAUAUCAUGAACAUGCACAUUUUUUAAACGUGUCUACAAAUGAAGAAGGCAGGCAAAAAGAAGUCGUGAAAGACGGUUUUUGCUAUGUGGGCCAAUCUCAGCUGAAAGCAGGUGUACUUGCGGCAGGUCCAUACUCUGUGUAGCGGUGUGUAUCUGCUUUUUCGAGUUCGUUAAGUCACAGACGGGCCACAGCUAAAAUUAAGGAGCUCAGCCGCCUGGAAAACACUUUUGACGGUUAAAUCAGUUAGGAUACUCGAGGCUGCAGUCAUUCUUCGUUUUCAAGAGGAAUCAUUUCAGCUGAAGAAGACAGCGAUAAAGAGGGCAGGACCUGGCCAGACCUCCAGUCAGACGUGGAAGUGUCUGGGUAAAGACCACCAAGGUCCAUGCUGAGGGAGGUGUUAACUAAAUUAGAGAUGGUGCUGGACCAACAAACCACUGAGAUUGCUUCAACUACAGGAGGUCCAGGUGCAGCCUUUGGAUAUUGAUGAAGAUUUACUGCCCCUGCAAGACCUUCCUCAACUGUGUAGUCUGGAGCGAAGGAUGCAACAGAGCCCAGAUUACAAGCAAAAUCUGGGCGGAUGUGCUCAACUGCACCUGGUGCAUAUUGGUGAUUACUAACUCCCUGGAAAAGAACCUCAAUUGGAGGGGAAUCAAUAGAAAGACUUCACUGUCCGCUCUCCAACUCGGAGAGGUCGUGAUUGUUCAUAGAAACCUCUUUACGGCUAAUGCUGCAGAGAUGGAGGUCGAGAGGACCAUGAAGAGGUGGCUCCAGCUGGCAUCAGAUCAAGAGUGUGAGUGCAAGAGAAGUCUUUUGCAAAAGGAAGCUACCAGGAAUCCUGAAGAAGGACGAGUGCAUUGGAGCAGUCGUGCCGCAUGCGGGGGCAAACAUCAGGCUUCGGCAGACAGAGGUUCUGAAGAGGGCCAGCCUGAUCGAGACGGUAUGAGGCAGAUCACCCACCGCGAAGAUCAUCGUCUCUGGACCUCUUCCCUCAUACAGAUGUGGAGCUGAAAAGUUCAGUAGACUUCUAGCAUUAAAUGAUUGGUUAGUUUCUUGGUGUAAUUAACAGGAAUCUGCUGUUUGUUAAUAACUGGAAUCUGUUCUGGGAGCGUCCUAGGUUGUUUCGUCCUGAUGGCCUGCACUCCAGCAGCUUCGGAGCGGAACUGCUGUCUGACAACAUCUCCAAGACACUACAACCCAAGUGACUGCCUACCGUCAAAUUAUUCGUAAACAUGGAAUGAACUUCCACUGUUAUGCUGAUGAUACAGAGCUGUAUGUUUGCAACUGAACAAUAACAACAAUAAACAACACUGAAGAAUAGCGAAAAACUCCAACUGUUUUCGUGCUUACUUGAAGACGAUGAGGCGGAGCAGCAUCGGAGAGACAGUUCGCUCCAUUCUCCAAAGAAUCGGGGAGAACAGUCUGUGGUGUAUGUUUUCGUUGAAAGCGCC